CAACCGAAUGGCGGACAGAAAGCGAAAGCGACCGCAUUCUCUUACUAUAGGGCCACCCACAGUCCCACUGCCAAUGCCUGUCUCCACCCGAUCAUUAAUUAUUCAUUCAGAAUCGUUGUCUAGCUGAAGUAAUCUCUCAUUUCGAUUCCCAGCUUCUUUUUACUAAGAAAUCGCAGGAAAAACUGACUCUUUUACAAGAAGUCGUUCCAUUUCCAAUCUGGUCUGGUUGGCUCUGCGUUUUUCUUAGCAACCAAACAUACCGUUAGUCCAGCCUCUGUAAAGAUUUCCUGAAGAGUUAUAGCUAAAUUCUUGGCUUUGAUGUACAGCUACUUGAACAUAUCCAUUAGCAAAAACUUAGUGCCUGAUGAAAUCAAAGGAAGAGAGAUUCACCAUUCAUUUCCAAUGACUCUUUUUCAGGUUCUAUUAGUCUAGAUAUUUUGUGAUAUCCUUUUUCUUCUAGAAAAAUAAGAUCUAAGCACUAGACCUAUCUCAAUCUGUGACAUGAGGGUGAUGAUUCAUGAGACAAGCUAAUGGAUCAUGCGUUGUCCGCCCCGCACUGCUCAUCUGAACCACAAUAGAUAGAAGCUUCUCGAGUACUGGACAUGGCAGUUUGUUGUGAUUUGCCUUGUGUUCAAUCUUGAUGAUAACUCUUCAACUUCUUGGAGCCUAUCCCAGUUGGGUCAGCUGGACAUGCAGCAUCAUUCUUAACAUUUCAGUGUCACUGGCUUUAUACUCUCUUGUCAUUUUCUACCAUGUGUUUGCAAAGGAGUUGGCACCAAAUAAACCGCUUGCUAAGUUUUUAUGCAUCAAAGGGAUUGUCUUCUUCUGCUUUUGGCAGGGUGUUGUACUUGAUAUUCUUGUAGCAUUGGGCAAAAUCCGAUCUCAUCAUGUCUGGCUAGAUGUUGAGCACAUUGAGGAAGCCCCACAAAAUGUAUUGGUGUGUGUGGAGAUGGUUUUCUUUUCUGCUUUUCAGCAAUAUGCAUACAACGUUGCGCCAUACAGAGAUGAUGUUGCAUCAAGCGCAAAAUUAGAUAAGAAGAAAGAGUGAUUUGGAAUUUACAUAAAUAUGGGUGAGAACUUGAAUGUACCGAUAAAUAUCAUUGACUGAACUAAGUUAGAUUUAUAUGACCCAUGCUAUACCUAUAUCUAAAUUAUUUCGACUUUUAUACUUUUAGCUAGAGGAUAUGAAAAAAAGAAAGAAACCCAAUGCAUUUGAGAAAUAUUAGGCGCUAGUGUGUUUCUGCUCU
Juglans regia (Persian walnut) is the source of this 1247-nucleotide long non-coding RNA. RefSeq lists it as uncharacterized. Lineage: Eukaryota; Viridiplantae; Streptophyta; Magnoliopsida; Fagales; Juglandaceae. The record is from RefSeq and is a predicted model, not a curated record. The transcript is spliced from 5 exons.